CUGCGGAGGAUACUGUCCAGCUUGGGGGCGGGAGAGGCCGACGGUAUUCCCGGGGUAGGGGUGAAAUCCUAUAAUCCCGGGAAGACCACCAGUGGCGAAGGCUGUCGGCUAGAACGCGCCCGACGGUGAGGGAUGAAAGCUGGGGGAGCGAACCGGAUUAGAUACCCGGGUAGUCCCAGCUGUAAACGAUGCAGGCUAGGUGUUAGAACGGCUACGUGCCGUUCUAGUGCCGCAGGGAAGCCGUUAAGCCUGCCGCCUGGGGAGUACGGCCGCAAGGCUGAAACUUAAAGGAAUUGGCGGGGGAGCACCACAAGGGGUGAAGCUUGCGGUUUAAUUGGAGUCAACGCCGGAAACCUCACCGGGGGCGACAGCAGGGUGAAGGCCAGAUUGAAGGUCUUGCCAGACAAGCUGAGAGGAGGUGCAUGGCCGUCGCCAGUUCGUGCCGUGAGGUGUCCUGUUAAGUCAGGCAACGAUCGAGACCCACGCUC
RNAcentral lists this ribosomal RNA (488 nucleotides) under uncultured archaeon. RNAcentral's name for it is "bacterial SSU rRNA". It matches the Rfam family "Archaeal small subunit ribosomal RNA", at positions 572 to 1059 of the family's 1478-position model. The record is from RNAcentral.